CUGCUUGGCUUCCCUGGAGUAGCUUACAAAAUAAAUUAGCAGGACCUGACAUUUAAAAUUUUAUCAGUUGUAGAUUUUUAGAGUGUCAAUGGGGUUUGGGUUUCAUGGUUGCUGCUAAAAUAAAUGUGAGCAACUCGCAUGACUAUAUUCAGUUUUCACUGAUUUAAUUACUGCUUAGAAAAGAAAUUGCCAGAUGGAAAAGACAUCGGCAUCAUGCCUCACAUUCUUCCUGGUGUUCGAGUCAGAGAUCAUUCUGUAGAUCCAGAUCCUUCUGAGGUGGCUUCGUUAAUCAAAGAGAAUGAACUUGCCAGAGACAAGAGAACAGUGCUGCAGCCAAGCAAAGAACAGUAGCUGUGCUUCUAAACUAGACUCUCCAAAGAGCCCAUGAACAUUUUCUAGACCAGCAUCCCAUCUCAUUCAGCCCUUCCUCCCUCUCAGAGUUUCCAGAUGUUUUACCAUCCUGAGGUCCAGCAUUAGCCAAUGGUCUUAAAAGGGACGCCUAGCAAAGAAAGGAAUAUGGGAGGUAUGGUCUGGUAGGGUGCCCUUUUCUGGGCAGUGUACUUCUGGAUGGUUGGAUGUUGAGACACUCACCUAUCUCCUAACUAUACUUUAACAUUUCCUGAACAUCUUUUGAAAAUCAUUAUUUUCAUGAUGUACAUUAUGUAAAAUAGUACAACCACUUUGGAAAACAAUUUGGCAUAGUAAAGCUGACCCAGCAAUUCCAUUUUCAGGUAUAUUCUCUAUAGAAUCUCUUGCAAAUACACAUGUAAAACAAUGUACAUAGUAAC
Molecule: long non-coding RNA, 788 nt
Organism: Bos taurus (domestic cattle)
Lineage: Eukaryota; Metazoa; Chordata; Mammalia; Artiodactyla; Bovidae
Source: Ensembl